Molecule: ribosomal RNA, 497 nt
Filed under: uncultured bacterium
Lineage: Bacteria
Description: partial 16S ribosomal RNA
Rfam family: Bacterial small subunit ribosomal RNA
Source: RNAcentral
GAUGAACGCUGGCGGCGUGCCUAAUACAUGCAAGUCGAGCGAACAGACGAGGAGCUUGCUCCUCUGACGUUAGCGGCGGACGGGUGAGUAACACGUGGAUAACCUACCUAUAAGACUGGGAUAACUUCGGGAAACCGGAGCUAAUACCGGAUAAUAUAUUGAACCGCAUGGUUCAAUAGUGAAAGACGGUUUUGCUGUCACUUAUAGCUGGAUCCGCGCCGCAUUAGCUAGUUGGUAAGGUAACGGCUUACCAAGGCAACGAUGCGUAGCCGACCUGAGAGGGUGGUCGGCCACACUGGAACUGAGACGCGGUCCAUACGCCUACGGGAGGCAGCAGUAGGGAAUCUUCCGCAGUGGGCGAAAGCCUGACGGAGCAACGCCGCGUGAGUGAUGAAGGUCUUCGGAUCGUAAAACUCUGUUAUUAGGGAAGAACAAAUGUGUAAGUAACUAUGCACGUCUUGACGGUACCUAAUCAGAAAGCCACGGCUAACUACGUG